UACGGAGGGGGCUAGCGUUGUUCGGAAUUACUGGGCGUAAAGCGUACGUAGGCGGCUUUGUAAGUUAGAGGUGAAAGCCCGGGGCUCAACUCCGGAAUUGCCUUUAAGACUGCAUCGCUUGAAUCAUGGAGAGGUGAGUGGAAUUCCGAGUGUAGAGGUGAAAUUCGUAGAUAUUCGGAAGAACACCAGUGGCGAAGGUGACUCACUGGACAUGUAUUGACGCUGAGGUACGAAAGCGUGGGGAGCAAACAGG
RNAcentral lists this ribosomal RNA (253 nucleotides) under uncultured bacterium. Its description in RNAcentral is "partial 16S ribosomal RNA". It matches the Rfam family "Bacterial small subunit ribosomal RNA", at positions 524 to 776 of the family's 1533-position model. The record is from RNAcentral.